UACGAGGGGUGCAAGCGUUGCUCGGAAUUAUUGGGCGUAAAGGGUAGGUAGGUGGUCUCAUUUGUCUGGGGUGAAAGCCUUGAGCUUAACUCAAGAAGUGCCCUAGAAACGGUGAGACUGGAGUCUUGGAGAGGGUCGUGGAAUUCCCGGUGUAGUGGUGGAAUGCGUAGAUAUCAGGAAGAACACCGGUGGCGAAGGCGGCUCUCUGGGCCUUACCUGACGCUGAGGAGCGAAAGCGUGGGUAGCGAACAGG
This 253-nucleotide ribosomal RNA is filed under the name uncultured bacterium. RNAcentral describes it as "partial 16S ribosomal RNA". It matches the Rfam family "Bacterial small subunit ribosomal RNA", at positions 524 to 776 of the family's 1533-position model. The record is from RNAcentral.